RNAcentral lists this ribosomal RNA (1518 nucleotides) under Klebsiella pneumoniae. Its description in RNAcentral is "bacterial LSU rRNA". It matches the Rfam family "Bacterial large subunit ribosomal RNA", at positions 1428 to 2925 of the family's 2925-position model. Lineage: Bacteria; Pseudomonadati; Pseudomonadota; Gammaproteobacteria; Enterobacterales; Enterobacteriaceae. The record is from RNAcentral.
GGUUAAUAUUCCUGUACUUGGUGUUACUGCGAAGGGGGGACGGAGAAGGCUAUGUUAGCCGGGCGACGGUUGUCCCGGUUUAAGCAUGUAGGCUGGUUGUCCAGGCAAAUCCGGAUAAUCAAGGCUGAGGUGUGAUGACGAGGCACUACGGUGCUGAAGUAACAAAUGCCCUGCUUCCAGGAAAAGCCUCUAAGCAUCAGGUAACAUUAAAUCGUACCCCAAACCGACACAGGUGGUCAGGUAGAGAAUACCAAGGCGCUUGAGAGAACUCGGGUGAAGGAACUAGGCAAAAUGGUGCCGUAACUUCGGGAGAAGGCACGCUGGUGUGUAGGUGAAGCCCCUGCGGGUGGAGCUGAGACCAGUCGAAGAUACCAGCUGGCUGCAACUGUUUAUUAAAAACACAGCACUGUGCAAACACGAAAGUGGACGUAUACGGUGUGACGCCUGCCCGGUGCCGGAAGGUUAAUUGAUGGGGUUAUCCGUAAGGAGAAGCUCUUGAUCGAAGCCCCGGUAAACGGCGGCCGUAACUAUAACGGUCCUAAGGUAGCGAAAUUCCUUGUCGGGUAAGUUCCGACCUGCACGAAUGGCGUAAUGAUGGCCAGGCUGUCUCCACCCGAGACUCAGUGAAAUUGAACUCGCUGUGAAGAUGCAGUGUACCCGCGGCAAGACGGAAAGACCCCGUGAACCUUUACUAUAGCUUGACACUGAACAUUGAGCCUUGAUGUGUAGGAUAGGUGGGAGGCUUUGAAGCGUGGACGCCAGUCUGCGUGGAGCCAACCUUGAAAUACCACCCUUUAAUGUUUGAUGUUCUAACGUUGGCCCCUUACCGGGGUUGCGGACAGUGUCUGGUGGGUAGUUUGACUGGGGCGGUCUCCUCCCAAAGCGUAACGGAGGAGCACGAAGGUUAGCUAAUCCUGGUCGGACAUCAGGAGGUUAGUGCAAUGGCAUAAGCUAGCUUGACUGCGAGCGUGACGGCGCGAGCAGGUGCGAAAGCAGGUCAUAGUGAUCCGGUGGUUCUGAAUGGAAGGGCCAUCGCUCAACGGAUAAAAGGUACUCCGGGGAUAACAGGCUGAUACCGCCCAAGAGUUCAUAUCGACGGCGGUGUUUGGCACCUCGAUGUCGGCUCAUCACAUCCUGGGGCUGAAGUAGGUCCCAAGGGUAUGGCUGUUCGCCAUUUAAAGUGGUACGCGAGCUGGGUUUAGAACGUCGUGAGACAGUUCGGUCCCUAUCUGCCGUGGGCGCUGGAGAAUUGAGGGGGGCUGCUCCUAGUACGAGAGGACCGGAGUGGACGCAUCACUGGUGUUCGGGUUGUCAUGCCAAUGGCACUGCCCGGUAGCUAAAUGCGGAAGAGAUAAGUGCUGAAAGCAUCUAAGCACGAAACUUGCCCCGAGAUGAGUUCUCCCUGAGACUUUAAGUCUCCUGAAGGAACGUUAAAGACGAUGACGUUGAUAGGCCGGGUGUGUAAGCGCAGCGAUGCGUUGAGCUAACCGGUACUAAUGAACCGUGAGGCUUAACCUU